GUAAGUGAGGGGGGGGAAGGGGGGGUAGUGGGUAGGUUGCGAGGGUGAACAGGGAAUAUUGGGCGGGAAUGGCGCGUAGGCGGGUUGUGGCGUCUGUCGGGAAAGUACGGGGCGUAACCCCGGGUGUGCGGUGGGUACGGGCGGACUAGAGUGCAGUAGGGGAGACUGGAAGUCCUGGUGUAGCGGUGGAAUGCGCAGAUAUCAGGAGGAACACCGAGGGCGAAGGCAGGUCUCUGGGCUGUAACUGACGCUGAGGAGCGCAAGCAUGGGGAGCGAACAGGAUUAGAUACCCCAGUAGUC
This 300-nucleotide ribosomal RNA is filed under the name uncultured Deferribacter sp. RNAcentral describes it as "partial 16S ribosomal RNA". The stretch from base 57 to 300 matches the Rfam family "Bacterial small subunit ribosomal RNA", at positions 552 to 795 of the family's 1533-position model. Lineage: Bacteria; Pseudomonadati; Deferribacterota; Deferribacteres; Deferribacterales; Deferribacteraceae. The record is from RNAcentral.